UCAUAGAUCCAAUAUUUUUUUAACGCCGGAUCCGAUGGGAUCAUAGAUCCUAACUUGCUGUUUGUUUUGACAUCCGCUGAGAUCAUAGGUCCAUGGACAUGUCUGGUGAAAACAACAGACAUUAUAAUCCAAUAAUUCUAAAUAUCUAAUUAUCCAAUUAUCUAAUAUCUAAGAUAUCGACAUUAUCUAAUAAAUUCGCGUUGUUUGAACACAUUGAUAAAGUUACCUAUUUAUGUAUGAUUUAUCAUAAGCCGGCUCAGCGUUUUAACAGCCAUAUUUUAUCUAACGUGCUUUAUCUUUAAGUAUUUAUUUUAAAGUUUUCUUGUUGGCUACUCUUACAUCAUCUGACAUGUCCGUAACCAUAAGAGAUAAAAGCAUCAUGGAUUAUCAGUUGAUGUCAUCGUUGAGCAAAGUAUUAGCAAAGUAGGAAUACUAAGCAUAUAUGAAUACCAAGCAAAGUAUUCAUAUAGGUAUGAACUUAACACUCACUGCAGAACCUUGCUAUAAUACACAAUGAAAGCAUUUUUACACUCACUUCGCCGUAUUAACACCACCUAAAGGUGUAAAUAGCAGACUGAGCACUAUACGCAGGUCUAUAACACGGCAAUUACGCUUAGAAACUGAUCAAAGCGAAAUUACACCUCGUUGGUGUGCAAAUCACACCCAUACAACACCUUAUGGAGGUGCAAUUCUGAACUUAAACACCUAGCUUUUGUUCAUUUACGAAUAACACCUUCCUGUAGUGUAGAUGAUCGCGCUUCAUGUGUGCUGUGUUAUUGACAAAGGAUCCUUGAUCUGCGAUUGCCGCAUUUUUGUCUUGGCUCAACACUGCUCUGAAGUGUAAUGUACCGGACGGCAAAGGCGCAUGCGCGUGACGCCGCUCGCGCACCCACGCGGCUUUCAGUGCGCCAUUGUGCUUCAACGAACGUGGUUGUUAGUGUGCUGAGCUCUGAGCUGGUGUGACUAUUGAGCAUUGAGGAAGGCCCACCUGCUCCAGAACGGAGAAGGAACUCGAACACCUUCUACUCGAGAUGCGUGAGGAGCAGGUCGUUUUUGACCCCGCGACAACGAACGGACCGUCCACCAUCGCAGAUGGCGUGCACUUUGGGUCGAAAGGGGAAGAUAGCCGAAUUCCAAACAAAAUGGCGAACAUGCAGGACGAGCUGUACAUCACGAACAUCGCUAUCUCCUUCGAGCGCGCUCGCAGGCGCUGGACUCGAACGCCUAGCCCCGGUUCAUAUCUGCAGGGGACUCGCCGUUU
Molecule: long non-coding RNA, 1261 nt
Organism: Amphibalanus amphitrite
Lineage: Eukaryota; Metazoa; Arthropoda; Thecostraca; Balanomorpha; Balanidae
Exons: 2
Source: RefSeq, a predicted model, not a curated record